GACAGAGGGUGCAAACGUUGUUCGGAAUUACUGGGCGUAAAGCGCGUGUAGGCGGCUUGGUAAGUCAGGUGUGAAAGCCCUCGGCUCAACCGGGGAAGUGCACUUGAAACUGCCGAGCUGGAGUCCCGGAGAGGAUGGUGGAAUUCUCGGUGUAGAGGUGAAAUUCGUAGAUAUCGAGAGGAACACCGGUGGCGAAGGCGGCCAUCUGGACGGUGACUGACGCUGAGACGCGAAAGCGUGGGGAGCAAACAGG
RNAcentral lists this ribosomal RNA (253 nucleotides) under uncultured Pseudomonadota bacterium. RNAcentral's name for it is "uncultured proteobacterium partial 16S ribosomal RNA". It matches the Rfam family "Bacterial small subunit ribosomal RNA", at positions 524 to 776 of the family's 1533-position model. Lineage: Bacteria; Pseudomonadati; Pseudomonadota. The record is from RNAcentral.